Malaclemys terrapin pileata is the source of this 2961-nucleotide long non-coding RNA. RefSeq lists it as uncharacterized. Lineage: Eukaryota; Metazoa; Chordata; Testudines; Emydidae. The record is from RefSeq and is a predicted model, not a curated record. The transcript is spliced from 9 exons.
UGUGCUUUGCAGCCUUCCCCUCCCCUCCCCCCAGCACUCACCUGGAGGAGACGCUGAGGGGGCUUCCUGUCCACUGGGAGACAGGAAUCUCUGCAGUGUGGACCUCACUCACCUGAGCAGCUGCUGGGGCUUCAGUCGGGCUGCUUCUGCAUGUCUAGGAUUAUGCUGGCAAUACUGGAAUAAAAGAGCUGUUCCCUGGUCUUUUGACUGAAAGUGUAUAGAGAAAAGAGCAACAAUGGGUAGUUACGUCAUCUGCAGAGAACAUUCUCAAGGGCACUUGCGGUAACUUCUCUAGGAGAGAGAUGUGGCCAGCAUUAUCCUUGGGAAGUGUUAUGAGCUUCAAAAAACUAUUUUAAUCAAUGUGCCAGACAAGAAGGAACUUUUGGGACAAAGUUAAGGAAAAACCUGGGGGGAGGUGAAUGCAAAUUCCCACCUCUUGAAGCUAUGCUCUGAACAGAAAACCAUUGUCUGCUGAUUACCUGUUCUUCAACAUGAAAACCAGAAGCCAAAGCUGUAUAAAGAAGAGACUGACUUAUUCAUGUGUGUUCGUGUUCUAAGCAAAAGCUGUUACGAACUGGUAACCACAGAAGAACGCUGUGAGAGGGCUGAAGGACUCUUCACCUACCAAGGCUCUUGUUGGAGUUGCGGGUGAUCUCUGCUUGCCCACAGAAACUGGGACAAUACUACUGGAUCCUGAUACAAAACAAUGUCCAUUAGAUUCACAACAACCCAUCCAUCAAUAAUCACCAAUUUUUUCAUGGACACAAUGGAAAUUUGCCAGGGAAACCAUCAGGAAAUACAAGAUGGGGGCAGAUGCAUCUUGUCCUGAGAGCAGAUCUUUCGAUGUUGGACCUUCCUAUCACAAACAUGAUAUAGCUGAAACUAGAGGAGGCUCAGAGACAAGCAACAAGAAAUAUUAGUGACAUGGAUAAACUUCCAUAUUAAGAGUUGCCUGUGAUGGGGUAUUCAAACCCCAUACUGGACAGCAAGGGGUUAAAGAACUACUCUGGGUCCAGCCAACCCAUCCUGCCACACUCAUAGCAAAUGCACCAACUGAAGGAGGGGCAGGGGAGCAGCUCAUUUGGUGGCAGAGAAGAGAAGAGAGCAGACCAGCAGCUUCAGAAGAGAAGAGCUGAGAGAAAGCAGAAUCUCCCCCUAAUCAACUGCCCAAAGGUUCCUCCCUGAGGGAAGGGAGGGCAUGCUGCAGAGACAGUCUGAUGGGAUGCAUUCUCAUCUCUCUCUCAUACAAAUUCUGGACUUGGUUAAUCCCCUUUAUUUUUGUUUGGACUCUCCCAGCGGGAGGAAAGCCCUAGGACUGAGCUGGCCCAGGAGGGCGGGCCAUACUGCAGGAGGAGGCAGUUGCUGCUGGAGAGAGAAAAGAGAGUGACCUCGCUACACGUGCAGAUGCCAGAAGAUGCUUUUUGAGAAUGUAAGAACUUAGAGUCUGAAUUGUUUCGUCCAUGCCAUCAGAUUCCAUUUCAGUUUGCUUCUCAAGGGCAAAAAGAAAACCAAGACAAAGGAACAACAAAAUGAAAUACAGAGAAAUCAAAAUGAAGUAUGAAAACAAAAUACAACACAAACAAAAAGGAAAAAAAUAAUAAACUAAACCAAAAUGAGAUACAAGUACAAAGAACAUAUAGUGCACAAGAUAUGAACUGAAAGGAAAGAGAAAUCACUGACCUCGGAAAACUGAAAAUACGAUAUAGAUUAAUAGUUUGUCUGAAGGCUCUGAGAACAGGGUCUGUUCACUGAGUUUUAUGUGAGAAAGGGUCAGACACACAGUACAGUGCAUUGCUUUGAGCCUAUCCAAGAGAGAGAGAAGAAAAAUCCACAUAGCUAAGCUUCUUUGAAAAAUGGUUCUUGUAUCUACAAACAAAAAUCAAAUAUUCUAGAUGUUGAAGAUGGAGCAACAAAUUGUAUUUUCUUUGCUAAGAAUAUGAAAGAUGAGGAAAUGGAGAAGCAAAGAGGCCAAUAGAAGCAAAGAGGACAAUAAGUCAAUGACAGAUCUUGACUUGCACCAAAACAAUGGUUUUUGACUCCCAGUAUGGUGCUCUCUCAACUGGACUAUAUCUGACUCGCUUUAGGUUGCUUCUUACAUUAAAUUGCUUACAUGAUAUUUUUUAUUAUUAAAAUGCCUACUGAAGUUAUAGUGCUUUCCAGCUCAACUGAAAGCCCAUUGUGUCAGGAGAAAAUCCAUUGUAAAUAGGAUUGUUGUAUGACAACCAGUAUAUUAAUUCCACUCAAAAAUGAAUACUGCCAGCAUGUCUGUUUCAGCAGAGAUUUAUGUAGUUACAAAAAUGUUCCAAAAAUUAGCUAGUGUGCAUGUCAAGUAGCUAAUUUUAAAACACUGUGACUUAAUUAUUUUUAGAAUUGUUUUGGGGUCAAAAUAUUGGGCAAAUAUUCAAUGCAGCUUGUGUAGUGGGGUGAAGUUAAAGCCUCGUUUGUACUUCUCUGAUCCUUAGGAACAACUGAGAGCAGCCUCAAAACUUGUAGGAUGUGUUUUUAGAAGGGUUAGAGAUGGAAAGAUUUUAAUUAUCUAUGCCUUUAUAUCAGAUUAAAUUUUUGCAUCAGAACUAACAUCUUUCAAAUCAAAUUGUAGUUUGACCUACUUUGAAAUUUACAACUAUUAAACCAUGAACAUCAAUGGAUAAAUUAAUUAUAAUUAUUCACUUUAAACUUUUAAACUUAUUUCUUCAUUAUUCUAUUCUAUUGUAUUCUAUAUAGGUGCUUAUAUUGCACUCAUUACUAUAGUGUCUUCCAGUAAUGUGUUCAGCAACAUGACAACACAUCUGCCAUGUGGUGUUUGUUCUCUCAUUUGUUCCAUGAGUAAGAAUAACUGACGAUAACAAAACUUUAGUAACCAGAGUCUUUGCUAGCUUAACUCCAUAGACUUCAAGUAAAAAUUCUUCCCUGCCCUUGUAAAAGACAUUGGUUUUAUCCAAUAAACAUGGAUCAAAACUC